Hirundo rustica (Barn swallow) is the source of this 426-nucleotide long non-coding RNA. RefSeq lists it as uncharacterized. The record is from RefSeq and is a predicted model, not a curated record. The transcript has 4 exons. NCBI's taxonomy places the organism in Eukaryota, Metazoa, Chordata, Aves, Passeriformes, Hirundinidae.
CAGAAACAGAUUCUCAGCCACAGUUCAGCCAUCAGCUGCUUCCUUGCCACCACCUUUUCCUCUACUGCUGCCUCAAGUCCUCCCAUCAACCCACACGGUUUAACAUCUCCUUUUCUGGAAAAAUUGGGCCAGGGAUUUAAAAAAGCAGCAUUGGAGCCCUGUACGCUUGCUUAUGGCCCAAAAUCUCCAGAGCAGUUAAGAUGCCAAGUGAGUCCAGGCAGUUUGGGCACCAUUUGUUUGUAGGUACAUGUCAGAUUGCAGCUAAGCUUCAUUGAGGGAAAGGAAAGGGUACAGCAGCUUUCUCUGAUAACCACUGCGUGACAGCCUCAGUUUGCUCAGCGUUGCCCUUCCCUUGGUGCAGUGCAUAAGGACAGCUAAUGCUUUAGAUCUACACAGGCAAGGGUUCUGCCACAUAGGACACCAAGA